Molecule: long non-coding RNA, 399 nt
Filed under: Elaeis guineensis (African oil palm)
Lineage: Eukaryota; Viridiplantae; Streptophyta; Magnoliopsida; Arecales; Arecaceae
Description: long non-coding RNA (EGUI_LNC079287)
Source: RNAcentral
CGACUCAGGGUUAAACUGUCAACCCUGAUCAGAUCAUCCGAAUCGUGCUCAACUCAAACAGUCCUGUGACUCCUCAUUAGGACUACCUUGGUCAAGAUUUUGCUAAAUUGAAACACGACUGUACACAGCUCCUAAACUGGAGUGGUCAAUCCCAUCUUGAUACACGCACCGAUAAGUCAAGUACUUGACUACACCCAGCAGCCUUCCGUCACUGAAUUAGAAAUUCAGAUAGUCCGUGCCUAAGUACAGUGAGUUGCUUGCAAGUCACCGUGGUGGUCUCAGGUCGGAGGGACAGUUAUACCCAUAUCCCAUCGGAGCAAAUCUUGAUAGUAGAAAAAGCUCCGAAGUCGGUCACAUUCAGUGCAGAUGUACCCUUACAUCUCACCUGUAUGCCAUACC